AGUGAGUGAAAUCCCAUCUCCACCUGCAACUUACGAUGGUCAUGUUGACAUAGAAAAAUUUUGGGAUUCAGUGGCAAUGGACAUGUUAAGCAGGGGGUUUUACCCAAGUGGUAAAGAAAAUCCAUUUACAGUUUCACCAAGUUAUCACAACUGGUCCCCAUGGAUAGGUCCAAAAACAAGGCAAUCAGCCAUGGUACUGUAUUAAACACGGAGAGUGCAAAACUACAUUCUCCAGAUGGAGGAAGUGACAUUGAUGUGCCUUUUACUGAGGAAAGGCUUGGAGAUGAGCUACUCCACCUUAAGAUUGCAGAUUUGAAAAAGCUGUGUAGAAAGUGUGGGGUUGAUGCUGUUGGUUCCAAAAUGGAUCUCGUCCUCAGACUUUGUGAUAAAAUGUCAAACAGAGUCACAUACAACAAGGUGUUUGAAAAGGUGUGGGGUGCUUCAGGUGGUGUUGGAGUAAUCAUGUGUCCGUGUGGUAUUGUAUAUUCUGUCAAGUUCAACCUGAGAGCGGAGAGUCCCCGUGACUUUGCUGAUCUUCUUUUGUCUUGGAAACAUUUUCCACAUAUAACGAUUUAUGACUAUCC
Long non-coding RNA from Clarias gariepinus (North African catfish), 584 nucleotides. RefSeq lists it as uncharacterized. The record is from RefSeq and is a predicted model, not a curated record. The transcript has 4 exons. Lineage: Eukaryota; Metazoa; Chordata; Actinopteri; Siluriformes; Clariidae.